Molecule: ribosomal RNA, 253 nt
Filed under: uncultured bacterium
Lineage: Bacteria
Description: partial 16S ribosomal RNA
Rfam family: Bacterial small subunit ribosomal RNA
Source: RNAcentral
UACGUAGGGUGCGAGCGUUAAUCGGAAUUACUGGGCGUAAAGCGUGCGCAGGCGGUUGUGCAAGACAGAUGUGAAAUCCCCGGGCUCAACCUGGGAACUGCAUUUGUGACUGCACGGCUAGAGUGUGUCAGAGGGGGGUAGAAUUCCACGUGUAGCAGUGAAAUGCGUAGAUAUGUGGAGGAAUACCGAUGGCGAAGGCAGCCCCCUGGGAUAACACUGACGCUCAUGCACGAAAGCGUGGGGAGCAAACAGG